Molecule: long non-coding RNA, 3653 nt
Organism: Oncorhynchus tshawytscha (Chinook salmon)
Lineage: Eukaryota; Metazoa; Chordata; Actinopteri; Salmoniformes; Salmonidae
Source: Ensembl
CAAAACUGCACAGAGGUGGAAUUGGCUCAAGUGUUCUAUAUUAUAUUGUCAGCCAUCAACUGUUAAAGAUUGUUCACUUUAACAUACUCUUUAACAUGAUCGACCAAUUAUUAAUGAGAGCAUGUGAUUAUCAUGACCAUAUUCAUCUGAAGGAAGAAAACCAUUACAGAACCACCCACCACAACAGGACCAAGCGGCAUGGUGACAGGCAGCGGCAGCAGGAGCAGCACAAGGAGGAAUGGACAUGGGAUGAUGUGUUGGACGGCAAGGGUUGCUACACAUGGGAGGAGAUCCUGGCGGGAAAGGAUCGACUCCCAUGGGAACAGGUGGAGGCAGCUAGGAGAGCAGAGGCAGCCGGAGAGAGGAGCCGGCGAUACGAGGGAACACGGCUGGCAAGGAAGCCCGAGAGUCAGCCCCAACAAUUUAUUGGGGGGAGGCACACAGGGAGUAUGGCGAAGCCAGGUAGGAAACCUACGCCAACCUCCUGUGCUUACCAGAGGGCGAGAGAGACCGGGCAGGCACCGUGUUAUGCUGUGGAGCGCACGGUGUCCCCAGUGCGGGUGCAUAGCCUGGUGCGGUACAUACCAGCUCCUCGUAUCGGCCGGGCUAGAGUGGGCAUCGAGCCAGAUGUCAUGAAGCCGGCUCUACGCAUCUGGUCUCCAGUGCGUCUCCUUGGACCGGCGUACAUGGCACCAGCCUUACGCAUGGUGUCCCCGGUUCGCCUGCACAGCCCAGUGCGGGCUAUUCCACCUCGCCGCACUGGCAGGUUGACCGGGAGCAUUCAACCGGGUAAGGUUGGGCAGGCUCGGUGCUCAAGAGCUCCAGUGCGCCCGCACGGUCCGGUCUAUCCAGUACCACCUCCACGCAUCAGCCCUCCGGUGGCAGCUCCCUGCUCUCGCCCUGAGGUGCGUGUCCUCGGCCCAGUACCACCAGUGCCUGCACCACGCACCAGGCCUACAGUGCACCUCGUCUGUCCAGCGUUGCCAGAGCCUUCCUCCUCUCCAACGCUAGCAGAGUCUCCCGUCUGUCCAGAGCCGCCCGAGUCUCCCGUCUGUCCAGAGCCGCCCGAGUCUCCCGUUUGUCAUGAGCCGCCAGAGUCUCCCGUCUGUAAUGAGCCGCCCGAGUCACCCGUCUGAUGAGCCGCCCGAGUCUCCCGUCUGUCAUGAGCCGCCCGAGUCUCCCGUCUGCCAGGAUCCGCCAGAGCCGCCAGUCUGCCAGGAUCCGCCAGAUCCGCCAGUCUGCCAGGAUCCGCCAGUCUGCCAGAAUCCACCAGAGCCGCCUGUCUGCCAGGAUCCGCCAGAACCGCCAGUCUGCCAGGAUCCGCCAGAGCCGCCUGUCUGCCAGGAUCCGCCAGAACCGCCAGUCUGCCAGGAUCCGCCAGAGCCGCCAUUCAGCCAGGAUCUGCCAGAGCCGUCAACCUGCCUGAGCUAUCUCUUAGUCUUGGGCUACCUCUCAGUCCUGAGCUCCCUAUCAGUCCUGAGCUAUCUCUUAGUCUUCAGCUACCCCUCAGUCUUGAGCUACCCCUCAGUCUUAAGCUACCCAUCAGUCUUGAGCUACCCCUCAGUUUUGAGCUACCCCUCAGUCCCGAGCUACCCCUCAGUCCCGAGCUACCUCAGUCCCGAGCUGUCCCUCAGUCUGGAGCUGCCCCUCAGUCCAGUGGGGCCCUUUGUUAAGGUUACUAGGCCAAGGUCGGCGGCUAAGUAAGCGGACUAAGACUGUGUUGGAGUGGGGACAACGUCCCGUGCCAGAGCCGCCACUGUGGAUAGACGCCCACCCAGACCCUCCCCUAUGGGUUUAGGUGUGCGGCCGGGAGUCCGCACCUUUGGGGGGGGGUACUGUCACGCCCUGGCCUUAGUUAUCUGUGUUUUCUUUAUUAUUUUGGUUAGGACAGGGUGUGACAUGGUGAUUACAUGUGUCUUGUUUUGUCUAGGGGUUUUGUAGCCUAUGGGGUUGUGUUCAGUUGAGUGUUCUAGGUAAGUCUAUGGUUGCCUGGAGUGGUUCUCAAUUUAUCGUUGUCUCUGAUUGGGAACCAUAUUUAGGCAGCCAUAUUCUUUAGGUAUCUUGUGGGUGGUUGUUCCUGUCUCUGUGUUUUGCACCAGUUAGGACUGUUUCGGUUUUUCCAUGUUUUCUUAUUUUGUAUAGUGUUCACGUUUUCAUCUUUCAUUAAAGAUGUUUAUAAAUAACCACGCUGCAUUUUGGUCCUCCUCUCCUCCCCAGGAAGAAAACCGUUACAGACUGACUGGUACGGAGGAGCCUCUGGGGCGAGACUGAACAGAGACAAGACAGAGGCCCAAUUUUUCGGACCGUGGGCAGACCCAGACUUGACCAGACUACCUCUGACAGUCAAAGUGACAGACAUACGGGCACUGGGGGUAAAGUUUGACCGGGGGGGGAGGAGGGAGCGGUAACUGGAGUGGGAUCCUGGGGACAGUAAGACAGAGACUGGGUUUUUGGGGACUGCGACAGCUGACUUUUGAGGGCAAGGUUUUAAUCAUUAAAGCUGUGAUUUUACCUGUGCUUUUAUUAAUCAGUUCUGUUUUUAUUCCCCCUCAAAGGAGUAUUUUAGACCUGGAGCGGAUGCUUUUUUACUUCCUGUGGGGAAGCAAGUGGGAGAGGCUGAGGAGGGAGGUGGUAAAGAGGCCCAGGUCCAAGGGGGGGAAAGGCUUGCCUGACCUCUACUUAUUCCUGGGCAGCCGCUACACAGCGUUACCUCUGACUCUUGCCACCUCCCCAGUCAACAACAAGACUCAGGCCCUCGCACGGUUCUGGCUGGGAUCUUACCUCAGGACUCUGAGGCUGAUCCCAGUCGACCUGCGAGCCCCAGUCUCUUUACUGCUACCCACGCACUACGUCCAGCUCCAGAAGUUUUUAAGACAUUUUAAACUGGAAAAAGAAACAGUCACGGUCUUAACUAAACACCGCUCUCUCCUCUCUCUUGUGCAAGAUCGGGAACCAGUGUGUCCAGUGCGCGCUAUAGGCGAGCCCACAACGGUUUGGCGCAACGUGGCCCAUCCUGCUCUCCUGAAUCGGCAUCGGGACCUGUCCUGGAUGGUCGCCCACGAGAUCCUCCCGGUGAUGGCCGUUAUGCACUCACGGGGCAUGGCGAGGACAUCCGCGUGCCCCCGACCAGGCUGCGGCCAAGAAGAGUCGGUGAGGCACAUGCUCUGGGAGGGCAGAGCUGCCAGGGACCUGUGGAAGGAAGCAGGCCCCCUGAUCACCCCGUGUCUGCCAGCAGGGGAGGACCUAACACCUCAGCUCGUGCUGUAUGGGGUGGGCCGAAGGCCUAUUCCAUCGAAGGCCUUCACCAAGUACUGGCCACCCUCACGUGCUUGAAGGAAGCACUGUGGUCCUCCCGCAACCUGCUGGUAGGGAAAAGCGUAGAGACCACCCCCCAGGCAGUGGCCAUGGUAGCCACGGAAGCCCUGGGGUGGUACGGAAGGAAGGGGGCCUCGACCUCAGGCGAAGGGUCCCCCACAGCAGGAGGGACAGUAAUUUAUUUAGAGGAGCAGGAUGAGGCGAGUUUGAUAAGGACUCACCCCGCUCCUGUACAAGGGACCGAAGACAGCCUUUUAACAAAGUGACUUUUUAACAUGUUUUUCAUGUCUUAAAAAUGUUUUACCUUUGUUAGAUCAUUAGUACACAUUUUAAAUGGC